RNAcentral lists this ribosomal RNA (444 nucleotides) under uncultured bacterium. RNAcentral's name for it is "partial 16S ribosomal RNA". It matches the Rfam family "Bacterial small subunit ribosomal RNA", at positions 338 to 795 of the family's 1533-position model. The record is from RNAcentral.
CCUACGGGUGGCAGCAGUGGGGAAUAUUGGGCAAUGUACGCAACUCUGACCCAGCAAUGCCGCGUGAAUGAAGAAGGCCCUCGGAUUGUAAAGUUCUUUAAUUGGGGACGAAAAAAAUGACGGUACCAAAGGAAUAAGCCACGGCUAACUACGUGCCAGCAGCCGCGGUAAUACGUAGGGGGCAAGCGUUGUUCGGAUUGAAUGGUUGUCAAGGGUGUGUAGUCGGUGUAGCAAGUUAGAAGUGAAAUACCUAGGGCUAAACUCAGGUGCUGCUUCUAAAACUGUUAUGCUUGAGUGCAGUUGAGGAAGGUGGAAUGCCUGGUGUAGCGGUGGAAUGCGUAGAUAUUAGGAGGAACAUCAGUGGCGAAGGCGACUUUCUGAACUGUAACUGACGCUGAGGCACGAAAGUGUGGGGAGCAAACAGGAGUAGAUACCCCAGUAGUC